Long non-coding RNA from Raphanus sativus (radish), 1899 nucleotides. RefSeq lists it as uncharacterized. The record is from RefSeq and is a predicted model, not a curated record. NCBI's taxonomy places the organism in Eukaryota, Viridiplantae, Streptophyta, Magnoliopsida, Brassicales, Brassicaceae. The transcript has 8 exons.
CGGAGUGUUAAAUCAGCCAAUAAGGUUGAAGCUUUUUUCCAUGUCAGAAAUGAGAUAUUCAAUUUCUGCUUUCUUACCCGAUCUUCACGCCUUCCACCUCUUCCCUUUCUCUUAUCUCCACAUCGGUUCCGUCAAUUAACUUCAUCACUUACCUUCCACCUCUUCCCUUUCUCUUAUCUCCACAUCGGUUUCGUCGAUUAACUUCAUCGCUAAGUGCUCCAAUCAAACCUUGAAUGAACACAUUCAAUUAUACCUUUCACCUUUCUGUUUUUCUAUUUAUACAUCUCAUUUCCUAUCUUAUGUCUCCAUCGAAGUUUAUAAGAUUCUAUCACACUCAUCGCGAUGAAACACACUAGCAACUCUUCACUCUCCAGCGACGGCAGGACCAGCAAGACGACCGUUGCCUCCUCUGCGACUGCGAGUCUCCUCAAGGUGGUGGUCUGAGAACCGGUGCUUCAUGUAGCUGGCACCUCGAGAAGAUAUGUAAUUGGUUCGCGGUGAAGGGUCCGGUGAGAAGUUCGAGUGCCAAGAUGAGGUUCGUUUCUACUAAAGUUUUGAUUUUUAGCAUGGGAACUUGAAAUGAAUGUGAAAGUUUGAGACUUUAUCACUGGCAGUUAUGCAAGUGAUGCUUUGAUAAGCUGAGGUUCUUGAGUGUGAUAGAGCCUGCUUUGCUUGGAGAUGGUGGUGACAAAGGAAGAACUUAUAGACUGUCUGUCUUGGAACCAUUUCUCAGAGUGGUACUUCAAAAUUCUUGAAGGCUCUUAAGGAAACCAAGGAUCUUGCUGCUGACAAGACAUGUUUCUUCUUCUCAAUCCUCGGGACGAAGGUGAUUUCACCAAGCUCCAUCUCCAGCAAGUGCUCAAGUUGUAAUGAACUACGCUUAAAACAGUAGGAAGCAAUCUGCUUCAAAUUGAGAGAUGCGUCUCUAAAGGGUGCUUUAGCUUUUUACUCUGAUGGUCGUUACUUGGCGACUAGAGGAGUUGAUCGCCAUGUUCAUAUAUCGGACGUCACAGGAACACUGUUUCUUCCCUAUGUUUCAGACACAGAACUGCAGAGCUCUACUCUGGUUCAUUUGAUCGAAGUGUCAAGGCGUGCACUUACGGUUGGGAGAGAUAGAGUCAUGCAACUACACAAGGAGGGUAAAAAGGCAGAGAAGCUUGAUGGAGGAGGUGGCAAAAGGGGAAAACACCAGCAUCUGGCAUGUCUCCACAUCUUAAUAGCUUAUGAGAUCACUAUGAAGAUUUCUGAGAUACAACUUCUUAAAAACCCAGCAUCUCUGUUGGGUCAUUGAUGCAAAUCGAAACUGAAUAAGACCCACCCACAGUUGCUUCCUUUUGAUGACUUAUAAGAUUGAAGUUCGCUGCUAAAGUCUAAACAUGUUUUUUCUGAUUCGUACUAUGUAAAUGUAUCAACUCUAUAUCGAAACAAUAAGAAGGAGAAGAAGAGGAACAGCAAAAGAUAUGGGAAGCUAUGAAUAUGGUUCGAUUAGGUUCUUAAGUGAAGCUAAAGACAUUGGUGGGAGCGGUUUCGUUGAGAUUCUGAAGUUUCUUGCAGUCCACUACUCAGAGUAUUGACUGUUGCGGUGUCGGUGGUGGAUCCUCCUAUCAUGUACAUCGUAUCUGCAAUCCAGUCUCCGUAGAAGCAUAUGAUCUAAUUGUCAGUCAAGUUUGAGUCUUUUUGGGAGUUUAGUUUAUUACAGGUAGCUGUAUUAAUUUGUUUCAGCAAAUAGUUUCGAUUAACGCAGAAACUGUUUGGAGUGGCAAAAGACUAGAGUUGUAGCAUCUCUAUACUGUUGUCGGGGCGGGGCAUGUUGGUUUAUAAAAUUUUGUUUGUGAUUUGGAUUCUCUUUAAGGAAUUACAUAUAUUAUUAAUUUUUGCUAUGAUAAAAAUGUUUCAUUA